Labeo rohita (rohu) is the source of this 944-nucleotide long non-coding RNA. RefSeq lists it as uncharacterized. The record is from RefSeq and is a predicted model, not a curated record. The transcript has 2 exons. Lineage: Eukaryota; Metazoa; Chordata; Actinopteri; Cypriniformes; Cyprinidae.
AUGGAAAUGCACACUCCAGUUUUUAGUUUUAGUCGCAGACGAGAGCUCUGACAUUUUAAAAUGCAUUCAUUUUACGACAAAAAAGUUUUUUUCCCCAGGGUCUCGACCAGCAGUGUAACAUGGAUCUACCAGAUCAGCACUCACCUGAUGAGUGUAGGAGAUCAGGUUCAGCAUCUCCGCCUUGUGGAACAUUUAGACAGUGAGUUUGACCAGUCUCUAAUAAUUUAAAAACCAUACAUGAUAUUUUUAAAUGGCAAAUAAACGGACACAUGCUUUUAUUUUCAAAGAUGUUAAAAGCAGAUCCUUAUAACCAAUAAAUAAAUAUUUAUUUCGUUUAUUUAUGUGGUCUGUAUAAUGUGAUUCCAGUCAAUUCCUGAAUUACUGUUCUCUCAUUUCACAUUUUUUUCCAUCAGGGUGAGGAUCGUUCUCUUUGUCACUGAAAAGGAUGUGAAGCUCUGAGUCUCUGGAGCUCUGGAUGAGGUUAUAGAUAGAGGAGUGAGACUUUGGCUUCUAAAGACCUACAAAGACACUUAAAAUAACAAUUACUGUUAACAUGUGUCACUGAACUACUGACUAAUAAAACAACUAAACAUUUAUAUUGUUUAAUGAAAGCUUUUUUUUUUAAACUUAUUUUUACUGAUAAGCAGGCACAUGUAUAAGAUCAGAUCAGUGUAUCAGCUCCCUCUUGUGGACAAACGUAUCUGCAUUAAAAUGUUAAAACAGCCACUUUCCAGAGUUUAGCUCCAACUUGAUUAAAAACACCUGAAGCAGCUAAUCAAGGUCUUUAGGAUUACUAGAAACAGCUUGGGUUGUUGCCUUCUAUGUUUCUAAUUUAUAUAAAACUGGAUUUCAAUAAACAAAUGUUGUUUACAAGUGUGUUUGUGUUAUCAGUUUCAUGCAUUUAAACACAAGACUGACAUCUGACAGACAUUUCUUAAUAAACU